UAGGGAAUCUUCCGCAAUGGGCGAAAGCCUGACGGAGCAACGCCGCGUGAGUGAUGAAGGUCUUCGGAUCGUAAAACUCUGUUAUUAGGGAAGAACAAAUGUGUCAGUAACUAUGCACGUCUUGACGGUACCUAAUCAGAAAGCCACGGCUAACUACGUGCCAGCAGCCGCGGUAAUACGUAGGUGGCAAGCGUUAUCCGGAAUUAUUGGGCGUAAAGCGCGCGUAGGCGGUUUUUUAAGUCUGAUGUGAAAGCCCACGGCUCAACCGUGGAGGGUCAUUGGAAACUGGAAAACUUGAGUGCAGAAGAGGAAAGUGGAAUUCCAUGUGUAGCGGUGAAAUGCGCAGAGAUAUGGAGGAACACCAGUGGCGAAGGCGACUUUCUGGUCUGUAACUGACGCUGAUGUGCGAAAGCGUGGGGAUCAAACAGG
RNAcentral lists this ribosomal RNA (429 nucleotides) under Actinomycetes bacterium. Its description in RNAcentral is "Actinobacteria bacterium partial 16S ribosomal RNA". It matches the Rfam family "Bacterial small subunit ribosomal RNA", at positions 355 to 776 of the family's 1533-position model. Lineage: Bacteria; Bacillati; Actinomycetota; Actinomycetes. The record is from RNAcentral.